Molecule: long non-coding RNA, 222 nt
Filed under: Lathyrus oleraceus (garden pea)
Lineage: Eukaryota; Viridiplantae; Streptophyta; Magnoliopsida; Fabales; Fabaceae
Description: Pisum sativum (pea) long non-coding RNA (PSAT_LNC025946)
Source: RNAcentral
UCACUAGUCCCACUCAUUUGAGAUCUAAUGACUCACUCACUAAUUCCUCACCAUGGGAAUUAGCUACAGCCCCAAAGGCUAGACUAUGCACACUAAUCAUCUAGCAUGCAAACAUCAACAACAAAUCCACAAUGAUUCACUCACUAAUUCCUCACCAUGGGAAUUAGCUACAGCCCCAAAGGCUAUGCUAUACACGCUAAUCAUCUAGCAAUGCAGCAUCAA